Calidris pygmaea (Spoon-billed sandpiper) is the source of this 656-nucleotide long non-coding RNA. NCBI's taxonomy places the organism in Eukaryota, Metazoa, Chordata, Aves, Charadriiformes, Scolopacidae. The record is from Ensembl.
CGAGACCAAUCGGGUGCGGGCGGCCGCGCGUGGACAGCGCCCCGAUUGGUCGGGUGGCCGCAGCUCCCCGGCGAGCGGGCCAAUGGCGCGGCACGGCUACCACGUGCACAGCCCGUGGAUAAACAGGAUCUAAAAAACGCAGAGCUGGGUUACAGAAGAUGCCAACUGUAAAACAACUGCACCAGGAAGUUAAUUUACAAAGAGCAAAGAUUUAGCUCAAAUGUUGAUGGAGCAACUAACUUGAGGUGGCUGAAGUUAGACAAUGUGGAUCCUCUUAGCAUCUUUGGAGAGAAAGGAGCAUUUUCAGACACGUCUCAGACACUGCCAUGGAUUUAGAGCAGGCUAAUCAAAGGUUUGCAUUAACUGCAAUGCAAGAGGAAGUGGCAAUAUACAACCUGAGGCCCAUUCUGUGGAAUCAGAAGACGGUGAAAGACUUCAGGAGCAGCGUGCCUUGAAUUUGAAUUAGCCAGACUGAAUUUAAAAUCAACAAGCUGAAAGAGCCUGAGAUAAGAAGUCAGAACAUUCAGAGGAAAUGAGAACUGUUCCGGGAACUAAAGGUGAGAGAAACACUAAGUCACAUUAAAAAUAUUCAGCAAGUAAAAGGCACACCUUUUCUUUUUCUGGACACCUUUUCUUAGAAGUCGUCUAUAAUCAGU